RNAcentral lists this ribosomal RNA (377 nucleotides) under uncultured eukaryote. RNAcentral describes it as "SSU rRNA". It matches the Rfam family "Eukaryotic small subunit ribosomal RNA", at positions 587 to 969 of the family's 1831-position model. The record is from RNAcentral.
AGCUCCAAUCGCGUAUAUUAAAAUUGUUGCGGUUAAAACGCUCGUAGUUGAAUAUUUGUCGAAGAAUACUGGUCCACCCAAGUGGUGCGUACUCGGUGUACCUUCGUCACCUUUACCGGGGAGAGCAUUUCCACUUCGUUGUGGGUGUGCAAGAUCCGGAACUUUUACUUUGAGGAAAUAAGAGUGUUUCAAGCAGGCAUUGCCAUGAAUACGUCAGCAUGGAAUAAUAGCAUAGGACCCGGUGUCGUAUCUGUUGGUUCACGGCGCUGGGUAAUAACAAGAGGGAUAGUUGGGGGCAUUCGUACUGCAAAGUCAGAGGUGAAAUUCUUGGAUUUUUGCAAGACGGACUAGUGCGAAAGCAUUUGCCAAGGAUGUUU